This 77-nucleotide transfer RNA is filed under the name Agitococcus sp. RNAcentral's name for it is "tRNA-Pro". It matches the Rfam family "tRNA". From Rfam's summary of the family: Transfer RNA (tRNA) molecules are approximately 80 nucleotides in length. Their secondary structure includes four short double-helical elements and three loops (D, anti-codon, and T loops). Further hydrogen bonds mediate the characteristic L-shaped molecular structure. tRNAs have two regions of fundamental functional importance: the anti-codon, which is responsible for specific mRNA codon recognition, and the 3' end, to which the tRNAs corresponding amino acid is attached (by aminoacyl-tRNA synthetases). tRNAs cope with the degeneracy of the genetic code in two manners: having more than one tRNA (with a specific anti-codon) for a particular amino acid; and 'wobble' base-pairing, i.e. permitting non-standard base-pairing at the 3rd anti-codon position. Lineage: Bacteria; Pseudomonadati; Pseudomonadota; Gammaproteobacteria; Moraxellales; Moraxellaceae. The record is from RNAcentral.
CGGAGUGUAGCGCAGUCUGGUAGCGUAUAUGUCUGGGGGACAUAGGGUCGUCGGUUCAAAUCCGGCCACUCCGACCA